Molecule: non-coding RNA, 122 nt
Organism: Pelobates cultripes (western spadefoot toad)
Lineage: Eukaryota; Metazoa; Chordata; Amphibia; Anura; Pelobatidae
Source: the annotation of a GenBank genome assembly
AUGUGUCAGUAUGUCUGUGUGUGUGUGUCAGUAUGUCUGUCUGUGUGUGUGUCAGACAUACUGACACACACAGACUUACUGACACACACACACAGACAUACUGACACACACACACAAGCAUA